GGUGACAAGAGGAGUCACUUCCUCUGAAAGAGUCCUCAGGGAAGUUUGCUCUAAGGGGUUGGCAGUGGCGUGUAAAAUAAGACCUGAGAAAUAAGAAGGAACCAGUUAUGCAAAGGGCCGGGGGAAGCAUAUGCAAGGACUCCAAGGUGGCAGGCAUCACGGCAUAUGAGAGGACCAAAAAGACAGCCGAGUGGCUGGUCUUGGGUGGUGAUAUUGAAGAUGUCAAGUUUGUGAUUUAAAAUGGAAUGUGUACAGAACACAGCGGGAACAGCUCGUCUCUGCUCCGUGAUGGCUGGGGCCUCAGCUGGAAUUAUCUGAAGGCUUCUUCAAGCCCUUGUGUGGAGGUUGAGUGUAGCUGUUGGCCAAGAAACUAGCUGGUUUUGUCAACUCAGAUACCUCUACUUGCACCUGGGUUCCAAAGAGGCACAGAAGGAACAUGGCCAUGUGAAGAUACAGACACAGAAAUAGAACAUCAUGUAAAGAUGGAGGCCAAGAUUGUAGUGAUGCAUCUACAAGUCAAAGAAGACCUGGGACUACCAUGGACCAGAAGAGACAAAGAAGGAUCCUUCUCUACAGGCUUUGGGGUGUGGGGCACAGCCCUGCCAACACCUUGGUCUUGGACUUCCAGCCUCCAGAACUGUGAGACACAUGCAAGGGAAGGGAAAGAAGACCAGCUCUCAGCCACUCCUGGCAAGGCAUUGUAUGGAAUGAAACAUUGUUCAAGAUAUCAUGAAACUCCAAGGAUCUGGUCAUUUUGUUUCCUCAAGGAAGAAACAUUGUUCUCUGCUCCAGGUGACUUCAGGAGACCAAGUGAUCUGCCCUUUCUGUCUCUGCCUCACUUCUCCUGCUGCCACCUGCAUCUCUCUGGUGCCUUUGAGUUCACAUGGAGGAUGAGUACCCUGCACAGUCGGCAGCCUCGGUUGGAGACAGCUCUUCUGCCAGCCACUCCCUUGGCCACCAGUGAUGGCUAAUCCUGUUGGUUGUCUACCUCUGGUCCUGUCAACCCGGUGAUGAGGCUACUUGGUUCUAAGAAGGGUGACCAACAACCAUGGACUUCCUUUGAGAGGAUACUGGGUGUUGUUAAUACAGAAUAUAUAAGUCAGCAGGCACCUCACUAAGUAUUCCAAGUGUAUUCCACCCCUUUCCUUCUAUUUACCAAGAAGCUAAUGAGUCGUUGUAUCCAUUGCCGUCCCUUUCACACCUUCCUUUCUUACUAUACUAAAUCCCUGAAAUCUUGGCACUCUGACUUCUGAAACCACCUUCCUUUUCUUAACUCUAACUGAAAUUAUCUCCCAACUUUAAUAGCCACUUGUCUUUCCCUCCUUGAACUUGCUUCUGUGUUAAAAAUCAUAGAUUGUCCAACUCUACUUGCAAGUCCCCUAUCUUGGCUUCUAUGACUGCAUUAUCCUGGGCAUAGGGUGCAGGCAGGGGCGGGGGUGCAGGUGGGGGUUGGACAGAAAAGUGCAGGGGAACCCUUGGCAUCAAUGAACCUGGACAUUAACCUGGAUUAUUCCCAGAACUCAAUAUCUAUGUAGCAUUGUGCUUGUUAAUUCUGGUCCAUUCAAUACAUUUUAUUUUGUGCACUUACUGUAUUUGUGAUGACUGAGUAAUGGGGAAGAAUUCCAGAUAACACCAUGGGUUGGGCUUAAAUGAAUAAGAGAAUAAAUGUGCAGAUGCACAAACCUUCCUUCUUGUACCCAAUGAGAUGCCAAGAUCUGUUGAUUCAACAUGCAUAACGUCUCCCAGAUUUAUUCCUCUUCUUCAUUCCCACUACCCUGGUAGAACUCCUUGCUACCUUAGAUGUGGCCUAGUGAUUAAUGAGCUGAAUUCUGAGCAGCUCCUGGCACUUCCAGGGAGACUCAGUAGGGACUUCUGUAGGUGGGAAGGCAAGAAAGUGUUGAGUUCCCUUGGCAAGGUCCAUUCUUGCCUCUUCAUUUUAACAAGGUCAGUUCUACUUUUAUCUGUCUUAUGUGGAUUUUUGUUUUAAUCUGAAGAAAACAACACUGACCUAGAUAUUGACCCUGCCUCAUCUUUCAUUUCUCUAUGUCCAGAGUGCUCUCCCUACAGUCCACUUUAGAGUCAGCUUUCAGAUUAUUUAUCCCAAAGCAUGUUCCUCAUCAUGUCAUAUUCCAUUAUCUGUAAAUGCACUUCCCAAAAUAGUAGCCAUUAGCCAUAUGCAACUUAUGUCAUAUGACAUAUGUAAAUUAGUUAAAAUAAAUUAAAAAUUCAGUUCCUUAGUUGCACUAGCCAUAUUUAGUUGCUCAAUAGCCACACGUAUCUAGUGGCCGCCAUAUUGCACAGCUCAUUAUAUACAACAUUUCCAUCACUGUGGGCCUUUCUAUUGGGCAGAGCUGGCCUACAUAACUAGAUAAAAAUUUCUGAUUUUGGCUCUAGGACUUAAAACUAUCCUUGCUGGACCCCUCUGCUGCUGUUUUCCUUCAUGUGAUGCUCCUGUAAGACUGAACUCUUAUCAAACAUAGCUACUCACUUCCUGACCUCAGGCCUCUGCUUACCCAGCUCCAUGUAGAGCAUCUUUUGCUCCAACACUGCACACCCAAAUCCUACUCCCCAUUUAAUGACUCUGCUCCAUGAAGUCCUUUCUAAUUUCCCAACUCAAAGGAAUUCUCUCUUCCUGUGAAUUUUCAUAGGAUUUUAGGUGAAGCACUCUAAUGUCAUCUACCACAUUUCUUCUAGAAUUGUAACUAUCUGUGCAUAUGUUUUAGCUCUUGACUUGCUAGGGGUUCCUCUGGAAGCUGAUUCUGAGACAAGGAAUCCUCUGAGACUGGGAUUCAAAUGUGAGUUGUGUAGGUGAGAGGUAAUU
Non-coding RNA from Microcebus murinus (gray mouse lemur), 2821 nucleotides. The record is from RefSeq and is a predicted model, not a curated record. NCBI's taxonomy places the organism in Eukaryota, Metazoa, Chordata, Mammalia, Primates, Cheirogaleidae.